This 2891-nucleotide ribosomal RNA is filed under the name Vibrio parahaemolyticus. Its description in RNAcentral is "23S ribosomal RNA". It matches the Rfam family "Bacterial large subunit ribosomal RNA". Lineage: Bacteria; Pseudomonadati; Pseudomonadota; Gammaproteobacteria; Vibrionales; Vibrionaceae. The record is from RNAcentral.
GGUUAAGUGACUAAGCGUACACGGUGGAUGCCUUGGCAGUCAGAGGCGAUGAAGGACGUAUUAACUUGCGAUAAGCCCAGAUUAGGCAGUAAAAGCCACUUGAGUCUGGGAUUUCCGAAUGGGGAAACCCACUAGCAUAAGCUAGUAUCGCUGCGUGAAUACAUAGCGCAGCGAGGCGAACCGGGGGAACUGAAACAUCUAAGUACCCCGAGGAAAAGAAAUCAACCGAGAUUCCGAAAGUAGCGGCGAGCGAAAUUGGACUAGCCCUUAAGCUUUAUAUGCGUUAGACGAACGGUCUGGAAAGUCCGGCGAUACAGGGUGAUAGCCCCGUAGUUGACAACGCACAUUCAGUGAAAUCGAGUAGGGCGGGACACGUGAUAUCCUGUCUGAAUAUGGGGGGACCAUCCUCCAAGGCUAAAUACUACUGACUGACCGAUAGUGAACCAGUACCGUGAGGGAAAGGCGAAAAGAACCCCUGUGAGGGGAGUGAAAUAGAACCUGAAACCGUGUACGUACAAGCAGUAGGAGCAGGCUUUGUCCUGUGACUGCGUACCUUUUGUAUAAUGGGUCAGCGACUUAUAUUCAGUGGCAAGGUUAACCAUCUAGGGGAGCCGUAGGGAAACCGAGUCUUAACUGGGCGUUCAGUCUCUGGAUAUAGACCCGAAACCAGGUGAUCUAGCCAUGGGCAGGUUGAAGGUUGAGUAACAUCAACUGGAGGACCGAACCGACUAAUGUUGAAAAAUUAGCGGAUGACUUGUGGCUAGGGGUGAAAGGCCAAUCAAACCUGGAGAUAGCUGGUUCUCCCCGAAAGCUAUUUAGGUAGCGCCUCGGACGAAUACUACUGGGGGUAGAGCACUGUUAAGGCUAGGGGGUCAUCCCGACUUACCAACCCUUUGCAAACUCCGAAUACCAGUAAGUACUAUCCGGGAGACACACGGCGGGUGCUAACGUCCGUCGUGGAGAGGGAAACAACCCAGACCGCCAGCUAAGGUCCCAAAUUACUACUAAGUGGGAAACGAUGUGGGAAGGCUCAGACAGCCAGGAUGUUGGCUUAGAAGCAGCCAUCAUUUAAAGAAAGCGUAAUAGCUCACUGGUCGAGUCGGCCUGCGCGGAAGAUGUAACGGGGCUAAGUAGUAAACCGAAGCUGCGGCAAUGUGCUUUUGCACAUUGGGUAGGGGAGCGUUCUGUAAGCGGUUGAAGGUGUGUGGUAACGCAUGCUGGACGUAUCAGAAGUGCGAAUGCUGACAUGAGUAACGAUAAAGGGGGUGAAAAACCUCCUCGCCGGAAGACCAAGGGUUCCUGUCCAACGUUAAUCGGGGCAGGGUAAGUCGACCCCUAAGGCGAGGCCGAAAGGCGUAGUCGAUGGGAAACGGGUUAAUAUUCCCGUACUUCUUACAAUUGCGAUGGGGGGACGGAGAAGGCUAGGUGGGCCUGGCGACGGUUGUCCAGGUUCAAGUGCGUAGGCUUAAGAGUUAGGUAAAUCCGGCUCUUUCUAAGGCUGAGACACGACGUCGAGCUACUACGGUAGUGAAGUCAUUGAUGCCAUGCUUCCAGGAAAAGCCUCUAAGCUUCAGAUUGUAAGGAAUCGUACCCCAAACCGACACAGGUGGUCGGGUAGAGAAUACCAAGGCGCUUGAGAGAACUCGGGUGAAGGAACUAGGCAAAAUGGUACCGUAACUUCGGGAGAAGGUACGCUCUCGACGGUGAAGUCCCUCGCGGAUGGAGCUAUUGAGAGUCGCAGAUACCAGGUGGCUGCAACUGUUUAUUAAAAACACAGCACUGUGCAAAAUCGUAAGAUGACGUAUACGGUGUGACGCCUGCCCGGUGCCGGAAGGUUAAUUGAUGGGGUUAGACUUCGGUCGAAGCUCUUGAUCGAAGCCCCGGUAAACGGCGGCCGUAACUAUAACGGUCCUAAGGUAGCGAAAUUCCUUGUCGGGUAAGUUCCGACCUGCACGAAUGGCGUAAUGAUGGCCACGCUGUCUCCACCCGAGACUCAGUGAAAUUGAAAUCGCUGUGAAGAUGCAGUGUACCCGCGGCUAGACGGAAAGACCCCGUGAACCUUUACUACAGCUUGGCACUGAACAUUGACCCUACAUGUGUAGGAUAGGUGGGAGGCUUUGAAGACGGUACGCCAGUAUCGUUGGAGCCGUCCUUGAAAUACCACCCUUGUAGUGUUGAUGUUCUAACGUUGACCCCUUAUCGGGGUUACGGACAGUGCCUGGUGGGUAGUUUGACUGGGGCGGUCUCCUCCCAAAGAGUAACGGAGGAGCACGAAGGUGGGCUAAUCACGGUUGGACAUCGUGAGGUUAGUGCAAUGGCAUAAGCCCGCUUGACUGCGAGAAUGACAAUUCGAGCAGGUGCGAAAGCAGGUCAUAGUGAUCCGGUGGUUCUGAAUGGAAGGGCCAUCGCUCAACGGAUAAAAGGUACUCCGGGGAUAACAGGCUGAUACCGCCCAAGAGUUCAUAUCGACGGCGGUGUUUGGCACCUCGAUGUCGGCUCAUCACAUCCUGGGGCUGAAGUCGGUCCCAAGGGUAUGGCUGUUCGCCAUUUAAAGUGGUACGCGAGCUGGGUUUAGAACGUCGUGAGACAGUUCGGUCCCUAUCUGCCGUGGGCGUUGGAAGAUUGAAGGGGGCUGCUCCUAGUACGAGAGGACCGGAGUGGACGAACCUCUGGUGUUCGGGUUGUGUCGCCAGACGCAUUGCCCGGUAGCUAAGUUCGGAAUCGAUAACCGCUGAAAGCAUCUAAGCGGGAAGCGAGCCCUGAGAUGAGUCUUCCCUGAUACUUUAAGUAUCCUAAAGGGUUGUCGGAGACUACGACGUUGAUAGGUCAGGUGUGUAAGUGCUGUGAGGCAUUGAGCUAACUGAUACUAAUUGCCCGUGAGGCUUAACCAU